This 420-nucleotide ribosomal RNA is filed under the name uncultured bacterium. Its description in RNAcentral is "bacterial SSU rRNA". It matches the Rfam family "Bacterial small subunit ribosomal RNA", at positions 954 to 1372 of the family's 1533-position model. The record is from RNAcentral.
AUGGGAACGCGAAGAACCUUACCUACUCUUGACAUCCAGAGAACUUUUCCAGAGAUGGAUUGGUGCCUUCGGGAACUCUGAGACAGGUGCUGCAUGGCUGUCGUCAGCUCGUGUUGUGAAAUGUUGGGUUAAGUCCCGCAACGAGCGCAACCCUUAUCCUUUGUUGCCAGCGGUUAGGCCGGGAACUCAAAGGAGACUGCCAGUGAUAAACUGGAGGAAGGUGGGGAUGACGUCAAGUCAUCAUGGCCCUUACGAGUAGGGCUACACACGUGCUACAAUGGCGCAUACAAAGAGAAGCGACCUCGCGAGAGCAAGCGGACCUCAUAAAGUGCGUCGUAGUCCGGAUUGGAGUCUGCAACUCGACUCCAUGAAGUCGGAAUCGCUAGUAAUCGUAGAUCAGAAUGCUACGGUGAAUACGUU